UACGUAGGGUGCGAGCGUUAAUCGGAAUUACUGGGCGUAAAGUGUGCGCAGGCGGCCGAGCAAGUCGAGUGUGAAAGCCCCGAGCUUAACUUGGGAAUUGCGCUCGAAACUACUUGGCUGGAGUGUGGCAGAGGAAGGUGGAAUUCCAGGUGUAGCGGUGAAAAUGCGUAGAGAUCUGGAGGAACACCGAUGGCGAAGGCAGCCUUCUGGGCCCAACACUGACGCUCAUGCACGAAAGCGUGGGGGAGCAAACAGG
RNAcentral lists this ribosomal RNA (256 nucleotides) under uncultured bacterium. Its description in RNAcentral is "partial 16S ribosomal RNA". It matches the Rfam family "Bacterial small subunit ribosomal RNA", at positions 524 to 776 of the family's 1533-position model. The record is from RNAcentral.